RNAcentral lists this ribosomal RNA (491 nucleotides) under Rhodotorula mucilaginosa. RNAcentral's name for it is "partial large subunit ribosomal RNA". It matches the Rfam family "Eukaryotic large subunit ribosomal RNA", at positions 48 to 534 of the family's 3401-position model. Lineage: Eukaryota; Fungi; Basidiomycota; Microbotryomycetes; Sporidiobolales; Sporidiobolaceae. The record is from RNAcentral.
AAGCGGAGGAAAAGAAACUAACAAGGAUUCCCCUAGUAGCGGCGAGCGAAGCGGGAAGAGCUCAAAUUUAUAAUCUGGCACCUUCGGUGUCCGAGUUGUAAUCUCUAGAAAUGUUUUCCGCGUUGGACCGCACACAAGUCUGUUGGAAUACAGCGGCAUAGUGGUGAGACCCCCGUAUAUGGUGCGGACGCCCAGCGCUUUGUGAUACAUUUUCGAAGAGUCGAGUUGUUUGGGAAUGCAGCUCAAAUUGGGUGGUAAAUUCCAUCUAAAGCUAAAUAUUGGCGAGAGACCGAUAGCGAACAAGUACCGUGAGGGAAAGAUGAAAAGCACUUUGGAAAGAGAGUUAACAGUACGUGAAAUUGUUGGAAGGGAAACGCUUGAAGUCAGACUUGCUUGCCGAGCAAUCGGUUUGCAGGCCAGCAUCAGUUUUCCGGGAUGGAUAAUGGUAGAGAGAAGGUAGCAGUUUCGGCUGUGUUAUAGCUCUCUGCUGG